UACGUAGGGUGCAAGCGUUAAUCGGAAUUACUGGGCGUAAAGGGCGCGUAGGCGGCUCGCUAAGUCGGAUGUGAAAACUCUGGGCUCAACCCAGAGCCUGCAUUCGAAACUGACGAGCUCGAGUUCUGGAGGGGAAAGCGGAAUUCCUGGUGUAGCGGUGAAAUGCGUAGAUAUCAGGAGGAACACCGGUGGCGAAGGCGGCUUUCUGGACAGAAACUGACGCUGAUGCGCGAAAGCUAGGGGAGCAAACAGG
This 253-nucleotide ribosomal RNA is filed under the name uncultured bacterium. RNAcentral describes it as "partial 16S ribosomal RNA". It matches the Rfam family "Bacterial small subunit ribosomal RNA", at positions 524 to 776 of the family's 1533-position model. The record is from RNAcentral.